CCGUCUCCAGUCUCUGGCAUAAAUUUUCCCCUUCCGAGCUGACUUUCGAGCUGCAAGUGAAAUGUAAAAUGUCGAAUGUGAGCGUACACACGCAACUCUUGCCAUUUUAAUUAAUGUCAAACUCUUAUCAUUGAAUAUAAAAUAUGCACAUAUACGAGGGGAGUGAGAGAGCGAAAGGACUAAAGGACAAUACUCACAUAUGCAUAUGGAAUUUACAUACCCAGGCCUUACCCGAGCCUUAGCUCGCUUUUCUUUGUCAAGUUGAACAGGCAGAAGGAAACAAUGCUCAUUCCCGCUCACCCGUUGCCUUGACAAAUCCUUUCUGUUUUUCUUUUUUUUUUUUCGUCCUGUUUUUGUGUUGGAUUUGCCGCAAAAAGCAAUCAAAGCAAAGGCACAAGAAAACGCAUGCUUACCAAUUAACGAGAUAUGUGCGAAUGUGCAGGAAAACGCGAGAAAUUUAGCAAAAGGACAAAAACACUCAGAAGACCGACAAAAAGUGGCAUACAAAUCAAAUGUGCUUGGGGAAAAAACACAUGCGAAAAAUUUAUAAAAACAAAAAAACCAAUACAAAGGCCCACUAACACACACUCGCACACACACUUCUAGAUGAUAGAUAUGGGCUAAGAGGCAGGAGGAAGGUGGAAGGUGGCACAGGCUAGAAAGGACUUUGGAGCCAAGUAGCAAACGUUUAUGCUAAACAGAGUGUAACUGCCGGGGUUGCCAGAGCUGAGAGUGCACGGUGACAUUUCUGCAAAAAGCCAGAAAGGAUAACAACAAGGUGCCACAAAAGGUCCUGUGAGAGUGCUCUACCUCUCUCUUGCUCUCGCUGUCUCGUUGGCAGUUUGCUUGCAGAAAAUGUAGCACACUUUCAGGCUCAGUCUCGGGCUCGGGCUAUUUUUGGCGAAAGACUCUCACUCUCGCUCUCGCUGUCUGCAAAGUCUGCUCGGCUCGGCACCUAGCUGGCCAACUGACUGCUGGCCCAGUGGAUGUCCUGCCAAACGGUUUUCAAACGCUCAGCUGAGAAAAUGUAACGGACGCUAGCGGCUGGGACGAAACUCACUGGCAUACAGAGACGGUACAAGAGAACCCAGAAAUUCAGCAAAAGGAGAAAACUUCCACAAGAAACGGCAGCUCGACAAAAUCUAUACAAAAGUGUCCGUGUCUGUGUCCGUGUCCGUUUCUGUGCCUGCGUCUGUGUCUGUGUCUGUGUCCGUGUGUGUAUGUGCGUGUGUAUAAAUUAGUUUGCGUACGUGUAUGGGUGUGCGAGGAUGUUCUUUAGAAGUAGCGUGAAAUUUUCAAGCAAAACGCGACGCGCCCUGAUUCGAGUUCUUUGUUCGUAAAAAAUCAUAAAAAAAACUCGACAAAAAUGUUAAUGACAAAGAACUAAGAUAAGACUUAAGCUAGAAAGUAUGCCCCAUAGUUCCCCGGAAAGCGUAGAAGCCGCAUUACAAUUUUAGACACAAAAAAUAAAAAAAAACAAUGCCAAAAGUUAAGGCGAAACCAAUAAAAUGAGCCAAGUCGCCUGCAACAACAACACCCACAACAACAACCGAAUCGGCAACAACAACAGCGACCAGGUUGCAGGCCCACGGGAAACACUAACAACAAGAACAACAACAAUAAACCAAACAACAUCGAAUGCUGGAAGGAAAUCAACAAAAAUCGACACAGAAAUAUUGAACGAGCGAUGAGAUGGAGCGUCCGAUUGGAUGACGAACUCAGAAAUCGACAAAAACCAAAAAAAAAAAAAGAACCGAACAAUACCAGGGGGGUGGGAGAUCUGCAACUGAAACCGAAAACUGAAACUAAAAACCACAGCGGAACUCGGAACUGGGAACUCGGAACUCGGAAUAGGAAAUCUGAAGAGGACCCCUGGACCCGUAACCGUAAUCGUAGCCCCCAAAAAAAAAACAAAA
Non-coding RNA from Drosophila bipectinata, 1916 nucleotides. NCBI's taxonomy places the organism in Eukaryota, Metazoa, Arthropoda, Insecta, Diptera, Drosophilidae. The record is from RefSeq and is a predicted model, not a curated record.